ACGUAGGGGGCAAGCGUUAUCCGGAUUUACUGGGUGUAAAGGGAGCGUAGACGGCACGGCAAGCCAGAUGUGAAAGCCCGGGGCUCAACCCCGGGACUGCAUUUGGAACUGCUGAGCUAGAGUGUCGGAGAGGCAAGUGGAAUUCCUAGUGUAGCGGUGAAAUGCGUAGAUAUUAGGAGGAACACCAGUGGCGAAGGCGGCUUGCUGGACGAUGACUGACGUUGAGUCUCGAAAGCGUGGGGAGCAAACAG
This 251-nucleotide ribosomal RNA is filed under the name uncultured bacterium. Its description in RNAcentral is "partial 16S ribosomal RNA". It matches the Rfam family "Bacterial small subunit ribosomal RNA", at positions 525 to 775 of the family's 1533-position model. The record is from RNAcentral.